GACGAACGCUGGCGGCGUGCCUAAUACAUGCAAGUAGAACGCUGAAGGAGGAGCUUGCUUCUCCGGAUGAGUUGCGAACGGGUGAGUAACGCGUAGGUAACCUGCCUGGUAGCGGGGGAUAACUAUUGGAAACGAUAGCUAAUACCGCAUAACAGUAGAUGUUGCAUGACAUUUGCUUAAAAGGUGCAAUUGCAUCACUACCAGAUGGACCUGCGUUGUAUUAGCUAGUUGGUGAGGUAACGGCCCACCAAGGCGACGAUACAUAGCCGACCUGAGAGGGUGAUCGGCCACACUGGGACUGAGACACGGCCCAGACUCCUACGGGAGGCAGCAGUAGGGAAUCUUCGGCAAUGGACGGAAGUCUGACCGAGCAACGCCGCGUGAGUGAAGAAGGGUUUCGGAUCGUAAAGCUCUGUUGUAAGAGAAGAACGAGUGUGAGAGUGGAAAGUUCACACUGUGACGGUAUCUUACCAGAAAGGGACGGCUAACUACGUG
Molecule: ribosomal RNA, 495 nt
Filed under: uncultured bacterium
Lineage: Bacteria
Description: partial 16S ribosomal RNA
Rfam family: Bacterial small subunit ribosomal RNA
Source: RNAcentral